This 497-nucleotide ribosomal RNA is filed under the name uncultured bacterium. RNAcentral's name for it is "partial 16S ribosomal RNA". It matches the Rfam family "Bacterial small subunit ribosomal RNA", at positions 28 to 507 of the family's 1533-position model. The record is from RNAcentral.
GAUGAGCGCUGGCGGCGUGCCUAAUACAUGCAAGUCGAGCGAACGGACGAGAAGCUUGCUUUUCUGAUGUUAGCGGCGGACGGGUGAGUAACACGUGGAUAACCUACCUAUAAGACUGGGAUAACUUCGGGAAACCGGAGCUAAUACCGGAUAAUAUUUUGAACCGCAUGGUUCAAAAGUGAAAGACGGUCUUGCUGUCACUUAUAGAUGGAUCCGCGCUGCAUUAGCUAGUUGGUAAGGUAACGGCUUACCAAGGCAACGAUGCAUAGCCGACCUGAGAGGGUGAUCGGCCACACUGGAACUGAGACACGGUCCAGACUCCUACGGGAGGUAGCAGUAGGGAAUCUUCCGCAAUGGGCGAAAGCCUGACGGAGCAACGCCUCGUGAGUGAUGAAGGUCUUCGGAUCGUAAAACUCUGUUAUUAGGGAAGAACAUAUGUGUAAGUAACUGUGCACAUCUUGACGGUACCUAAUCAGAAAGCCACGGCUAACUACGUG